Long non-coding RNA from Marmota flaviventris (yellow-bellied marmot), 485 nucleotides. RefSeq lists it as uncharacterized. Lineage: Eukaryota; Metazoa; Chordata; Mammalia; Rodentia; Sciuridae. The record is from RefSeq and is a predicted model, not a curated record.
GGUCUCUGUCCACAGAGCCUCUUUACUGGGCCAGGUCAGCUCACCCCUCCAUCUGGGCUCCUAUGGCACACAUGGGCCCCACCCCACUGAUCUCUGAAAGAGACCACUGAGUUCUAGCCCUCAGCUCAGCUCUGCCAGUUCCCAGGCAUGCUCCGCAGCUCCUCCUCUUCCUGAGACCCUGCCAGUGAUUGUCUGAAUGGGGCCAAGAGCCCCUGCCAUCAUAUCAUCUCCACCUGCCACCAAACCUGCAGUCCAUGACACAGCUGAGCAGUCUCUACCACCACUACAAUACCUCAAGAGGCCAGCUCUGCCCAGGAAAGCUGAAGCCUGCUCUGCUGCCAGUCUCCUGGUGCCACCCCACCUCUCCAGCCACAACCUCAUGUGAUCCAGGGACACAGACCACCCUUUCAGGACAGAAUUUGUCUGUCUCAAACCCACAGAAGCCCCUGUCCUAGGUCUAGACGGCAGACAGAACCACCACGGGA